RNAcentral lists this ribosomal RNA (506 nucleotides) under uncultured bacterium. RNAcentral describes it as "partial 16S ribosomal RNA". It matches the Rfam family "Bacterial small subunit ribosomal RNA", at positions 29 to 523 of the family's 1533-position model. The record is from RNAcentral.
AGUGAACGCUGGCGGUAGGCCUAACACAUGCAAGUCGAACGGCAGCACAGGAGAGCUUGCUCUCUGGGUGGCGAGUGGCGGACGGGUGAGGAAUACAUCGGAAUCUACUCUGUCGUGGGGGAUAACGUAGGGAAACUUACGCUAAUACCGCAUACGACCUACGGGUGAAAGCAGGGGACCUUCGGGCCUUGCGCGAUUGAAUGAGCCGAUGUCGGAUUAGCUAGUUGGCGGGGUAAAGGCCCACCAAGGCGACGAUCCGUAGCUGGUCUGAGGGGAUGCUCAGCCACACUGGAACUGAGAAACGGUCCAGACUCCUACGGGAGGCAGCAGUGGGGAAUAUUGGACAAUGGGCGCAAGCCUGAUCCAGCCAUACCGCGUGGGUGAAGAAGGCCUUCGGGUUGUAAAGCCCUUUUGUUGGGAAAGGAAUCCAGCUGGCUAAUACCCGGUUGGGAUGACGGUACCCAAAGAAUAAGCACCGGCUAACUUCGUGCCAGCCGCCGCGGUAA